AACGAACGCUGGCGGCAGGCCUAACACAUGCAAGUCGAGCGAGGACUUCGGUUCUAGCGGCGGACGGGUGAGUAACGCGUGGGAAUGUGCCCUUCUCUACGGAAUAGCCCUGGGAAACUGGGAGUAAUACCGUAUACGCCCUAUUGGGGAAAGAUUUAUCGGAGAAGGAUCAGCCCGCGUUGGAUUAGGUAGUUGGUGGGGUAAUGGCCUACCAAGCCGACGAUCCAUAGCUGGUUUGAGAGGAUGAUCAGCCACACUGGGACUGAGACACGGCCCAGACUCCUACGGGAGGCAGCAGUGGGGAAUCUUAGACAAUGGGGCAACCCUGAUCUAGCCAUGCCGCGUGAGUGAUGAAGGCCUUAGGGUUGUAAAGCUCUUUCAGCUGGGAAGAUAAUGACGGUACCAGCAGAAGAAGCCCCGGCUAACUCCGUG
This 432-nucleotide ribosomal RNA is filed under the name uncultured bacterium. RNAcentral's name for it is "partial 16S ribosomal RNA". It matches the Rfam family "Bacterial small subunit ribosomal RNA", at positions 29 to 507 of the family's 1533-position model. The record is from RNAcentral.